AUGAUCCAAAAUCUGAACUACAUCUACAACUGCAAUGACGUCGAGGCUCUGUGGAUGCUUCGAAUGAAAAGAGCACCAUUUGCCAGGCUUGUCGAGACCUUCAGGAGCAGGGGGCUGCUACAAGAUAACAUCAACACCAGUGUCGAAGAGCAAGUGGACAUGUUCCUCCAUGUUGUUGGCCAUAACCAGAGGUUCAGGGUCAUUCACAGCACGUUUAGAAGAUCAAAGGAGACCAUCUCUAGGUACUUCAAGCAGGUGUUUUUUACUAUUGGGGAGCUUAGAGAAGAGAUGACCAGGAGACCAUCUGGUCAGACUCCAUCCAAGAUUCGCGGAAGCCCAAGAUGGUAUCCAUACUUUAAGUUGAGCACUAACACAGGC
RNAcentral lists this ribosomal RNA (378 nucleotides) under Triticum aestivum (bread wheat). RNAcentral describes it as "partial small subunit ribosomal RNA". Lineage: Eukaryota; Viridiplantae; Streptophyta; Magnoliopsida; Poales; Poaceae. The record is from RNAcentral.